This 465-nucleotide ribosomal RNA is filed under the name uncultured bacterium. Its description in RNAcentral is "bacterial SSU rRNA". It matches the Rfam family "Bacterial small subunit ribosomal RNA", at positions 338 to 795 of the family's 1533-position model. The record is from RNAcentral.
CCUACGGGACGCAGCAGUGGGGAAUGUUGCACAAUGGGCGCAAGCCUGAUGCAGCCAUGCCGCGUGUAUGAAGAAGGCCUUAGGGUUGUAAAGUACUUUCAGUUGGGAGGAAGGCGUUGAUGCUAAUAUCAUCAGCGAUUGACGUUACCAACAGAAGAAGCACCGGCUAACUCCGUGCCGGCAGCCGCGGUAAUACGGAGGGUGCAAGCGUUAAUCGGAAUUACUGGGCGUAAAGCGCACGCAGGCGGUUGAUAAGGUUAGAUGUGAAAUCCCCGGGCUUAACCUGGGAAUGGCAUCUAAGACUGGUCAGCUAGAGUCUUGUAGAGGGGGGUAGAAUUCCAUGUGUAGCGGUGAAAUGCGUAGAGAUGUGGAGGAAUACCGGUGGCGAAGGCAGCCCCCUGGACAAAGACUGACGCUCAGGUGCGAAAGCGUGGGGAGCAAACAGGAUUAGAUACCCUAGUAGUC